CGGGCUAUAGCGCAGCGGUAGCGCGCUUGCAUGGGGUGCAAGAGGCCACGGGUUCGAUCCCCGCUAGCCCGACCA
RNAcentral lists this transfer RNA (75 nucleotides) under Candidatus Uhrbacteria bacterium. RNAcentral describes it as "tRNA-Pro". It matches the Rfam family "tRNA". From Rfam's summary of the family: Transfer RNA (tRNA) molecules are approximately 80 nucleotides in length. Lineage: Bacteria; Candidatus Uhriibacteriota. The record is from RNAcentral.